RNAcentral lists this ribosomal RNA (407 nucleotides) under uncultured bacterium. RNAcentral describes it as "partial 16S ribosomal RNA". It matches the Rfam family "Bacterial small subunit ribosomal RNA", at positions 28 to 526 of the family's 1533-position model. The record is from RNAcentral.
GACGAACGCUGGCGGCGUGCCUAAUACAUGCAAGUAGGACGCAGUUGCGAACGGGUGAGUAACGCGUAGGUAACUACCUAUUAGAGGGGGCUAACUAUUGGAAACGAUAGCUAAUACCGCAUACUAGUAGAUGGACCUGCGUUGUAUUAGCUAGUAGGUAGGGUAAUGGCCUACCUAGGCAACGAUACAUAGCCGGCCGUGAAGGGUGGUCGAGCAAACUGGGACUGAGGCAAGGCCCAGAAUCCUACGGGAGGCAGCAGUAGGGAAUCAUCGGAAAAGGGGGGAACCCUGGCCGAGCAACGCCGCGGGGGUGAAGGAGGUUUUCGGGUCGGAAAGCUCUGUUGUUAAGGAAGCGGUACUUAACCAGAAAGGGACGGCUAACUACGUGCCAGCCGCCGCGGUAAUUC